GCCCCCGUCGUCUAACGGUUAGGACACUGCCCCUUCAAGGCAGGAACGCGGGUUCGAUUCCCGCCGGGGGUACCA
RNAcentral lists this transfer RNA (75 nucleotides) under bacterium. RNAcentral's name for it is "tRNA-Glu". It matches the Rfam family "tRNA". Rfam says of the family: Transfer RNA (tRNA) molecules are approximately 80 nucleotides in length. Their secondary structure includes four short double-helical elements and three loops (D, anti-codon, and T loops). Further hydrogen bonds mediate the characteristic L-shaped molecular structure. tRNAs have two regions of fundamental functional importance: the anti-codon, which is responsible for specific mRNA codon recognition, and the 3' end, to which the tRNAs corresponding amino acid is attached (by aminoacyl-tRNA synthetases). tRNAs cope with the degeneracy of the genetic code in two manners: having more than one tRNA (with a specific anti-codon) for a particular amino acid; and 'wobble' base-pairing, i.e. permitting non-standard base-pairing at the 3rd anti-codon position. The record is from RNAcentral.